This 427-nucleotide ribosomal RNA is filed under the name uncultured prokaryote. RNAcentral's name for it is "bacterial SSU rRNA". It matches the Rfam family "Bacterial small subunit ribosomal RNA", at positions 355 to 774 of the family's 1533-position model. The record is from RNAcentral.
UAGGGAAUCUUCGGCAAUGGGGGGAACCCUGACCGAGCAACGCCGCGUGAGUGAAGAAGGUUUUCGGAUCGUAAAGCUCUGUUGUAAGAGAAGAACGUGUGUGAGAGUGGAAAGUUCACACAGUGACGGUAACUUACCAGAAAGGGACGGCUAACUACGUGCCAGCAGCCGCGGUAAUACGUAGGUCCCGAGCGUUGUCCGGAUUUAUUGGGCGUAAAGCGAGCGCAGGCGGUUUGAUAAGUCUGAAGUAAAAGGCUGUGGCUUAACCAUAGUAUGCUUUGGAAACUGUCAAACUUGAGUGCAGAAGGGGAGAGUGGAAUUCCAUGUGUAGCGGUGAAAUGCGUAGAUAUAUGGAGGAACACCGGUGGCGAAAGCGGCCUCCUGGGCCAUUUCUGACGCUAAGAUACGAAAGCGUGGGGAGCAAACA